Molecule: transfer RNA, 131 nt
Filed under: Cordyceps fumosorosea ARSEF 2679
Lineage: Eukaryota; Fungi; Ascomycota; Sordariomycetes; Hypocreales; Cordycipitaceae
Description: Isaria fumosorosea ARSEF 2679 tRNA
Rfam family: tRNA
About the family: Transfer RNA (tRNA) molecules are approximately 80 nucleotides in length. Their secondary structure includes four short double-helical elements and three loops (D, anti-codon, and T loops).
Source: Rfam by way of RNAcentral
UCCCCUGUAGCUCAGUUGGCUAGAGCGUCGUAAGUUGCGGUCCAGUAGCACGAAGUGGGAAUUCAGCACACUAACACCCAAAUCAGAGACUGUUAAUCUGAAGGUCGCAAGUUCAAACCUUGCCGGGGGAG